UUAAAUUGAAGAGUUUGAUCAUGGCUCAGAUUGAACGCUGGCGGCAGGCCUAACACAUGCAAGUCGAACGGUAACAGGAAGCAGCUUGCUGCUUUGCUGACGAGUGGCGGACGGGUGAGUAAUGUCUGGGAAACUGCCUGAUGGAGGGGGAUAACUACUGGAAACGGUAGCUAAUACCGCAUAACGUCGCAAGACCAAAGAGGGGGACCUUCGGGCCUCUUGCCAUCGGAUGUGCCCAGAUGGGAUUAGCUAGUAGGUGGGGUAACGGCUCACCUAGGCGACGAUCCCUAGCUGGUCUGAGAGGAUGACCAGCCACACUGGAACUGAGACACGGUCCAGACUCCUACGGGAGGCAGCAGUGGGGAAUAUUGCACAAUGGGCGCAAGCCUGAUGCAGCCAUGCCGCGUGUAUGAAGAAGGCCUUCGGGUUGUAAAGUACUUUCAGCGGGGAGGAAGGCGAUAAGGUUAAUAACCUUGUCGAUUGACGUUACCCGCAGAAGAAGCACCGGCUAACUCCGUGCCAGCAGCCGCGGUAAUACGGAGGGUGCAAGCGUUAAUCGGAAUUACUGGGCGUAAAGCGCACGCAGGCGGUCUGUCAAGUCGGAUGUGAAAUCCCCGGGCUCAACCUGGGAACUGCAUUCGAAACUGGCAGGCUAGAGUCUUGUAGAGGGGGGUAGAAUUCCAGGUGUAGCGGUGAAAUGCGUAGAGAUCUGGAGGAAUACCUGUGGCGAAGGCGGCCCCCUGGACAAAGACUGACGCUCAGGUGCGAAAGCGUGGGGAGCAAACAGGAUUAGAUACCCUGGUAGUCCACGCCGUAAACGAUGUCGACUUGGAGGUUGUGCCCUUGAGGCGUGGCUUCCGGAGCUAACGCGUUAAGUCGACCGCCUGGGGAGUACGGCCGCAAGGUUAAAACUCAAAUGAAUUGACGGGGGCCCGCACAAGCGGUGGAGCAUGUGGUUUAAUUCGAUGCAACGCGAAGAACCUUACCUACUCUUGACAUCCAGAGAACUUAGCAGAGAUGCUUUGGUGCCUUCGGGAACUCUGAGACAGGUGCUGCAUGGCUGUCGUCAGCUCGUGUUGUGAAAUGUUGGGUUAAGUCCCGCAACGAGCGCAACCCUUAUCCUUUGUUGCCAGCGGUCCGGCCGGGAACUCAAAGGAGACUGCCAGUGAUAAACUGGAGGAAGGUGGGGAUGACGUCAAGUCAUCAUGGCCCUUACGAGUAGGGCUACACACGUGCUACAAUGGCGCAUACAAAGAGAAGCGACCUCGCGAGAGCAAGCGGACCUCAUAAAGUGCGUCGUAGUCCGGAUUGGAGUCUGCAACUCGACUCCAUGAAGUCGGAAUCGCUAGUAAUCGUGGAUCAGAAUGCCACGGUGAAUACGUUCCCGGGCCUUGUACACACCGCCCGUCACACCAUGGGAGUGGGUUGCAAAAGAAGUAGGUAGCUUAACCUUCGGGAGGGCGCUUACCACUUUGUGAUUCAUGACUGGGGUGAAGUCGUAACAAGGUAACCGUAGGGGAACCUGCGGUUGGAUCACCUCCUUACCUUAAAGAA
Molecule: ribosomal RNA, 1554 nt
Filed under: Enterobacter hormaechei
Lineage: Bacteria; Pseudomonadati; Pseudomonadota; Gammaproteobacteria; Enterobacterales; Enterobacteriaceae
Description: bacterial SSU rRNA
Rfam family: Bacterial small subunit ribosomal RNA
Source: RNAcentral